RNAcentral lists this transfer RNA (64 nucleotides) under Goniurosaurus araneus. RNAcentral's name for it is "tRNA-Tyr". The record is from RNAcentral. Lineage: Eukaryota; Metazoa; Chordata; Lepidosauria; Squamata; Eublepharidae.
GGUAAGAUGGCCGAGAGUAGGCAGCGGACUGUAGUUUCGCCCACGGGCACAUGCCCUCUUAUCA